This 1653-nucleotide unclassified non-coding RNA is filed under the name uncultured fungus. Its description in RNAcentral is "sequence contains 18S rRNA gene, ITS1, 5.8S rRNA gene, ITS2, 28S rRNA gene". The stretch from base 550 to 1653 matches the Rfam family "Eukaryotic large subunit ribosomal RNA", at positions 1 to 961 of the family's 3401-position model. Lineage: Eukaryota; Fungi. The record is from RNAcentral.
GGAAGGAUCAUUAACACUUGCGGUUUCGUGCCGCUUUACUCAACAACCUGCGAACUGUUUUUUAUUAUUGAUGUGUGUACGGGUGCGUGGUGCGAGUGCCCGCGUGCGGCGCCUCUCGCCGCUCCAUUCGUGUACAUUAUCACUAUUUCAACCACACAACCGCAAAGUCUAACGUAAAUUGUACAAACAACCAAAAUACAACUUUUAGCAAUGGAUAUCUUGGUUCCCACAACGAUGAAGAACGCAGCGAAAUGCGAUACGUAAUGCGAAUUGCAGUAUUCGUGAAUCAUCAAAUCUUUGAACGCAAGUUGCGCCCUCGAGAUAGCCUUGAGGGCAUGCCUCUUUGAGUAUCGGUUACAAUCGUUCCCCGACCGCGGUGUGUGCGCGCGCGCAAGCGCACAAGACACACGAGCGCGACGGGAGAGGCUGGGCUCGAUCGCGGCGAGCGAUUGGCCCCAAGUUGAUUGCGGUGCGCGCGAAACGGCCAAUCCGACUUUAUUGGGAACAAGAAAACGCGGAACUUGGCGGCGCCCGGAAACUUAUACACACAGAUCUCAAAUGAGGUAAGACUACCCGCUGAAUUUAAGCAUAUAAUUAAGCGGAGGAAAAGAAACUAACAAGGAUGGCAUUAGUAACGGCGAGUGAAGCUGCCAGAGCUCAAACCUGAAAUCUCUGCCGUUCGCGGCAGCGAGUUGUGGUCUAUUGAGGCGUGUCUCAGUGGCGGCCCCGGCCUAAAUCGAUUGGAACAUCGUAUCAGAGAGGGUGAGAAUCCCGUCUUUGGCUGGGCGUCCGUCGCGUACGAGCCGUCUUUCGAAGAGUCGGAUUGCUUGGGAGUGCAGUCCUAAGUGGGUGGUAAAUUUCAUCUAAAGCUAAAUACAUGUGGGAGACCGAUAGCGAACAAGUACCGUGAGGGAAAGAUGAAAAGAACUUUGAAAAGAGAGUUAAAAAGUACUUGAAAUUGCUGAGAACGAAGGGAUGGCGACUAGUAAUGGCGCGGGUGGCCCCCGCGGGUGGCGGUACGAGGCGUGCGGACCGGAUUGCUUUGUCUUCCGCCGCGCGCCCAUGGCCGGGCCCGAGGGAUCCUGCCAUCGGCUGCCUUGGUCAGAAUGGGUUCGCCUCCGUUGAAAUUGCCGUCCGGGAAGGUAGCUCGGCCCCGUCACCGGGGCGCGAGAACUUAUAGCCCGGCGGUUUCGAACGGUCGCGGAUCGAGGCGCUGAAACAUUCUCCGAGGUUCACCUGUCGCUGUCCGUCGGCCGCGCCUAGGGAACAACGUUCCGCAGGCGUUCCGGUCGGCGACACUCGGCGGGCUGAACCAUCUGUCUGUUCACGAUUCUGACGAAAUGGUCGUCAUUCACCCGUCUUGAAACACGGACCAAGGAGUCUUACAUCUAUGCGAGUAAUCAGGUGGAAAACCUGUUUGCGCAAUGAAAGUGAAUGAGUGUGACCCGCAAGGGGCAACACCGGGCGGCUGAAAUAUCUGUACGACCACGAGCAUAUCUGUAGGGACCCGAAAGAUGGUGAACUAUGCUUGAGCAGGAUGAAGCCAGGGGAAACUCUGGUGGAAGUCCGAAGCGAUACUGACGUGCAAAUCGUUCGUCUGACUUGAGUAUAGGGGCGAAAGACUAAUCGAACUAUCUAGUAGCUGGUUCCCUC